Molecule: long non-coding RNA, 336 nt
Organism: Stylophora pistillata
Lineage: Eukaryota; Metazoa; Cnidaria; Anthozoa; Scleractinia; Pocilloporidae
Source: RefSeq, a predicted model, not a curated record
CUUUACCAUCAAGUCACAGAGUAGCACUUGCAACAUCGCCAUCGCCAUCGCCAUCGCCAUCGUCGUCAACGGCAGUUAAGCAGCUGGGAAAUAAGUAUGCUUUAAAAUUUGGCAAAAUAAAUAUCACCAGGAGACAAUCUAUGCUGGAGGCAGUAAAUAUGUUUAAAGACUUCAUUAUGAAAAUCCAAAUCAUCACAAAAACUAGUGAAGGCAGGCCCGGUAUAAAAGAGGUCAAAGCAGCGAAAGAAUCCAUCUUUAAAGUGGCAGCAGCAGUUGAGAAAUUUGCCCUUGAUUAUGGAAAGCAACACCUGAGUGACAUGAAGCCUUCAGAAAGGU